UCUCUCUCCCAUCGCCUGGACAGAGCUCGACCGCUGCAUGGCCGUCGUCGAUAGCCGGCUGUGGGUGGUGCCCAACCCCAUUCAGUCGCCCCUCCACCUUAUCCCUUCCCCUCCGCUCCCUUCUCCCCUCUCGCUCCCAUGAUCCCAUCCAUUUUCCCUCUGCCGCACACUACACACAGAGAUGGAGAGCAUCACACCGAGCUACACCGCCCCGCUGCCGCCCCAAAUUCGCCGGCCACAGGCACGAAUCCACGGGGCCAAGUCACGAGCAGCUCGAAGGAAGGUCACAGGGAGCUAUUCUGCGCUGAUCCCAUCGUUUCCCCACUGUUCCUCAUCGGGUUGAGCUUGCCGACGUCGUCUUCUUCGGCUCCGGCGUGUCUUUCUCAUCAUCACUUCAUCGAGCCACCCCUCUGCAACUCCUCCGCCCCAAGUGAGUCCACAGUCAGCAUCAAGGGGUUAUCCCCUUGUCUUUGAGUGCAUCGAUUUCCUCGCAGCCCGACGCCAGCACGUCGUUCUGCACAACCCGAGAGCCGCCGUACCUCUGCGCUCACCGCCGGCCACCUUCCGGCCAGGCCCACCGGCCGAGAUCUGCUCAGAAAGUCUUGCCAUCGCACGUUGGUCCUGGUGGUGUCCUCUUUUUGCCGAGACCAGCCGCUGUUCGCCGGCAGCAAGGUGCACCGCCGUGGCUCACGCGCGCCGGCAGGCCGGACAUGGCCAAGAGAAUGAAAAGCCGGAGAGCAAUGCGGGCGUGAUCACGGGUGAUCCGAAGGUUGUUGCUGUGGAUUGUGAAAUUGAGAAUCAUGGAAAACAUCUCUUCAUUCUUCACCCCUAUUUUGGAUCUAUGUGUUAUUUAUUUUUGAUAAAUUAUCGAUUUAUGUAUGUCAUGCAUGUUUAGCGAGUUAUUCUUGGAUUUUGUGGGUAGACCCUAUUUGUUGCAUUACCCUACCUUGACAUUGUUCAUCACUUGAUCCAUUGUAACCCGGGUGAUAUAAUGUAAUUUCUAACUUAAAAUGAACACGUUAUGAUUAGCGAGGCAUAGGUCAUUGGUAGAUGUUGAGUGAUGGUUCAUCUAUCGUUCGUGAGGUUUAGGGUUUAAUUUGCAUUGCCCUAGUGUGUGCACUACUACAGAAAGGGUCAUUCGUGCCCCUUCUUCACUGCCAGUUCAAAAAUAACUAGGAGUGAUAUGUUAUCAAUGCGGGUUCGUAAGCUUCAGUGCACAUAAAAAGUUGAGCCAGCAAGAACCGGUAGUGAUGUUAGCUCUUCAAAAGACAUACUUUUUAUAACCGGCAGUGAUAAUGGCUAUCGCUGCUAGUUGUGUUUACGAACCAGCAAUGAUACUAAAAACCCGUAUGACUUCAUGUGCGCGCCUACCAAGCUUCACGUGCUCAACGGCUCGAUCAUCUUCCCAGUGACUUUAAAUGUUUGCUCACUCUCGCUCGCUCUAUCACUCUCCCUUACUCUCUUUCACGUGCUCUCUCUCUCUCUCUCUCUUUCUCUCUCUCUCUCUCUCUCUCUCUCUCUCUCUCACUGUCAGUCGCCUCCACCUCCCGUGCAAUCCAUGGACGAUCCGCUGCCGCCUCCACCACCUUCUCCGAGGACGCCUCCCACACCCGCAUCCUUGUCCAGGGAGGAGGAGGCCCCGUCGGAUGAGGUGCCCCCAAACCUCCGAUUUUGGCAUUUCGUCGGGAUCCCCCUCGUCGGACGAUGAGGUGUAGGAUGUGUUCAUCAAUUAGCCACCGAGAGCCAAGAAGGUCCAGAUGAGCUCGGAGGAGGAGGACGGGCACGAGGAUAACAGCGAUGACGAGGAUGAUAACAAUGACAAUGAUAACGACAAUGACAACGAGGAUGAUGAUGACACGAUGGCGAUGACAGGACGAUGAGGCCACAUACUUCCUUUCGUGCAUUGAGUUUCAUCAUGACCACAACUAGUUAGCUAGGGUUAGUCGACACGGGCGUUAGGGUUUUUGCACUAUCUUCUGCGUGACGGUAGCUUUUGCUGUUAUUAGUAUAAACUCUAUUAAUAUGAUCAUUAGUAAUGCUAAUCUUGUUUAAAUUAAUGCAUGAAUGUUUAAUUUUUUAUUUUUUAUCCUAGAUUGAGUAUCACUGUCGAUUCGAAGCUGGAACCAGCAGUGGUAAGUAUACAAAUGAAUCAGAAUAAGAUCAAGAACCAGUAGUGAUAUGUAUAAUUACUGUCAAUCAGCAGUGAUAAUUAUGGAUUAUCACUACCGUUUAUUCACUGCCGGUUCAAAAACUAGCAAUUAUGUCAAUUUUGAACUGGCAGUGAUGACCAUUUCUGUAGUAGUGGUGCCUUGAGAAGGAGCUAGGUGGUCCUUAGCAUCAUGAGGAUUGUCCAACCGGCCAGGGAUGGAUGAGAGAAAGGUUGUCAUGGGGGCCAAUAGGAUGGACUCAUGUCAUGUGAGUAAAGUUGUACCCCCUGUAAAGUGUAAGAUCAAUUUGAAUUAUCGCGCUCCCAGUCUUAAGCAUGCUUAUGUCCAUCUGCAUUAAUUGUAGAGUGUUUGAUGUUUGGGUGUAUAUGGUUGUAAGUGGUAUGUUGGGAGUAGCUUGUGUAUGUCUAUGUUGAGAUAAACUUGUUCACUUGUUGGCUACGUUUAUGUACAUGUUGUCUCAUGAGGAUAGUUUCUGUUAGAUGCCUACACCAUGUGUCUUUUAAAUUCUUUUCACUUAAAUUCAACUACACCUUGUGGCUUACUCCUUACUACUCAUUCCAAUUAUAUAAUCCUUGGAGUUGGGUUAUUAUAUGUAACCAUAUGAGUUCUUGCAAGUACCUUCGUACUCAUGAUACUAUCGUUGAGUUUUUGCAGGUGAGGAUGAGUUAGUCUAUAGCUACUUCAUGCCCACUGAUGUUGGUGAUGGGCAAGAGUAGUGAUGUGCUACUCUUGAUGGCUCAGUGGUGCCUUAGGGCAAAUGGCGCCACCUCUUUUUGCUAAUUUUAGUUGAUAUUUCUGCUGCGUGGUAAUGAUCAUGUGAUAGGUUAUGAAAUUGAUGUAUUUUACUUAGUCUAGCACUUAAAUUGUUGUAUGCUGAGAGCCUAAACUUAUUAUUUGGGCCUCAUCCUCUAAUUUCAGCAUGUAGUACUUUAAGUUGUGGAACUUGUUAUAACUUUAAAGUCUUGUAAUAUAUUUAAUUUACUUGCUCUU
This is a long non-coding RNA of Phragmites australis (common reed), 3158 nucleotides long. RefSeq lists it as uncharacterized. The transcript has 2 exons. The record is from RefSeq and is a predicted model, not a curated record. Lineage: Eukaryota; Viridiplantae; Streptophyta; Magnoliopsida; Poales; Poaceae.